This is a non-coding RNA of Nasonia vitripennis (jewel wasp), 74 nucleotides long. Lineage: Eukaryota; Metazoa; Arthropoda; Insecta; Hymenoptera; Pteromalidae. The record is from Rfam.
GUAGACGUUAGCUCAGUGGUUAGAGCACAGGUCUCUGGCUCUCGGGUCCGCGAGUUCGAGUCCCGUCGUCUACU